Molecule: long non-coding RNA, 381 nt
Filed under: Bos taurus (domestic cattle)
Lineage: Eukaryota; Metazoa; Chordata; Mammalia; Artiodactyla; Bovidae
Description: long non-coding RNA NONBTAT014970
Source: RNAcentral
AACCAAACAAAUAUACUAUUAUAUACUAAAUGCCCACAUCCCAAUUUUAAUUACAGUAUUCCUUUUGUUAACAUAAAAUGCUGCAUCUAAUAAAAGCAUGAUACAUUUCUACAAUUUAGUGACAAAAUUAAAGGGUCUUUGUAGAGAAGAUAAUGAAGCAAGCACCAAAACAGUUCAAACAAUAAAAUCAACAUUACAUUGAUUUUAAGAAAAGCCAAGAAUAUACAGGUGCUUAUAUAAAAGAGAAACACAGAACUUCAUACGAGAGGAAAGAGAGAUGGCUCUUAACUAUAUUUAGAUUCUUCGGCCCAAAUAAAAACUUUUAAGAACACAAAUAACAGUCAACACUUGCUUUAUGAAGACAGGUCAUGUUACAAGACU